GGACAUUGGCGGGCGUGCUAAUACAUGCAGUCGAGCGAACGGACGAGAAGCUUGCUUCUCUGAUGUUAGCGGCGGACGGGUGAGUAACACGUGGAUAACCUACCUAUAAGACUGGGAUAACUUCGGGAAACCGGAGCUAAUACCGGAUAAUAUUUUGAACCGCAUGGUUCAAAAGUGAAAGACGGUCUUGCUGUCACUUAUAGAUGGAUCCGCGCUGCAUUAGCUAGUUGGUAAGGUAACGGCUUACCAAGGCAACGAUGCAUAGCCGACCUGAGAGGGUGAUCGGCCACACUGGAACUGAGACACGGUCCAGACUCCUACGGGAGGCAGCAGUAGGGAAUCUUCCGCAAUGGGCGAAAGCCUGACGGAGCAACGCCGCGUGAGUGAUGAAGGUCUUCGGAUCGUAAAACUCUGUUAUUAGGGAAGAACAUAUGUGUAAGUAACUGUGCACAUCUUGACGGUACCUAAUCAGAAAGCCACGGCUAACUACGUGCCAGCAGCCGCGGUAAUACGUAGGUGGCAAGCGUUAUCCGGAAUUAUUGGGCGUAAAGCGCGCGUAGGCGGUUUUUUAAGUCUGAUGUGAAAGCCCACGGCUCAACCGUGGAGGGUCAUUGGAAACUGGAAAACUUGAGUGCAGAAGAGGAAAGUGGAAUUCCAUGUGUAGCGGUGAAAUGCGCAGAGAUAUGGAGGAACACCAGUGGCGAAGGCGACUUUCUGGUCUGUAACUGACGCUGAUGUGCGAAAGCGUGGGGAUCAAACAGGAUUAGAUACCCUGGUAGUCCACGCCGUAAACGAUGAGUGCUAAGUGUUAGGGGGUUUCCGCCCCUUAGUGCUGCAGCUAACGCAUUAAGCACUCCGCCUGGGGAGUACGACCGCAAGGUUGAAACUCAAAGGAAUUGACGGGGACCCGCACAAGCGGUGGAGCAUGUGGUUUAAUUCGAAGCAACGCGAAGAACCUUACCAAAUCUUGACAUCCUUUGACAACUCUAGAGAUAGAGCCUUCCCCUUCGGGGGACAAAGUGACAGGUGGUGCAUGGUUGUCGUCAGCUCGUGUCGUGAGAUGUUGGGUUAAGUCCCGCAACGAGCGCAACCCUUAAGCUUAGUUGCCAUCAUUAAGUUGGGCACUCUAAGUUGACUGCCGGUGACAAACCGGAGGAAGGUGGGGAUGACGUCAAAUCAUCAUGCCCCUUAUGAUUUGGGCUACACACGUGCUACAAUGGACAAUACAAAGGGCAGCGAAACCGCGAGGUCAAGCAAAUCCCAUAAAGUUGUUCUCAGUUCGGAUUGUAGUCUGCAACUCGACUACAUGAAGCUGGAAUCGCUAGUAAUCGUAGAUCAGCAUGCUACGGUGAAUACGUUCCCGGGUCUUGUACACACCGCCCGUCACACCACGAGAGUUUGUAACACCCGAAGCCGGUGGAGUAACCUUUUAGGAGCUAGCCGUCGAAGGUGAACAAGAUGG
This 1462-nucleotide ribosomal RNA is filed under the name Staphylococcus aureus. Its description in RNAcentral is "bacterial SSU rRNA". It matches the Rfam family "Bacterial small subunit ribosomal RNA". Lineage: Bacteria; Bacillati; Bacillota; Bacilli; Caryophanales; Staphylococcaceae. The record is from RNAcentral.